RNAcentral lists this ribosomal RNA (253 nucleotides) under uncultured bacterium. Its description in RNAcentral is "partial 16S ribosomal RNA". It matches the Rfam family "Bacterial small subunit ribosomal RNA", at positions 524 to 776 of the family's 1533-position model. The record is from RNAcentral.
UACGAAGGGGGCUAGCGUUGCUCGGAAUUACUGGGCGUAAAGGGCGCGUAGGCGGAUAGUUUAGUCAGAGGUAAAAGCCCAGGGCUCAACCUUGGAACUGCCUUUGAUACUGGCUAUCUUGAGUUCGGGAGAGGUGAGUGGAAUGCCGAGUGUAGAGGUGAAAUUCGUAGAUAUUCGGCGGAACACCAGUGGCGAAGGCGACUCACUGGCCCGAUACUGACGCUGAGGCGCGAAAGCUAGGGGAGCAAACGGG